UACGUAGGUGGCAAGCGUUGUCCGGAAUUAUUGGGCGUAAAGCGCGCGCAGGUGGUUUCUUAAGUCUGAUGUGAAAGCCCACGGCUCAACCGUGGAGGGUCAUUGGAAACUGGGGAACUUGAGUGCAGGAGAGAAGAGUGGAAUUCCACGUGUAGCGGUGAAGUGCGUAGAGAUGUGGAGGAACACCAGUGGCGAAGGCGACUCUUUGGCCUGUAACUGACACUGAGGCGCGAAAGCGUGGGGAGCAAACAGG
RNAcentral lists this ribosomal RNA (253 nucleotides) under uncultured bacterium. Its description in RNAcentral is "partial 16S ribosomal RNA". It matches the Rfam family "Bacterial small subunit ribosomal RNA", at positions 524 to 776 of the family's 1533-position model. The record is from RNAcentral.